This 446-nucleotide ribosomal RNA is filed under the name uncultured bacterium. Its description in RNAcentral is "partial 16S ribosomal RNA". It matches the Rfam family "Bacterial small subunit ribosomal RNA", at positions 338 to 795 of the family's 1533-position model. The record is from RNAcentral.
CCUACGGGUGGCAGCAGUCGAGAAUCAUUCACAAUGGGGGAAACCCUGAUGGUGCGACGCCGCGUGGGGGAAUGAAGGUCUUCGGAUUGUAAACCCCUGUUAUGUGGGAGCAAAUUAAAAAGAUAGUACCACAAGAGGAAGAGACGGCUAACUCUGUGCCAGCAGCCGCGGUAAUACAGAGGUCUCAAGCGUUGUUCGGAAUCACUGGGCGUAAAGCGUGCGUAGGCGGGUUCGUAAGUCGUGUGUGAAAGGCGCGGGCUCAACCCGCGGACGGCACCUGAUACUGCGUGACUAGAGUGAUGGAGGGGGAACCGGAAUUCGCGGUGUAGCGGUGAAAUGCGUAGAUAUCAAGAGGAACACUCGUGGCGAAGGCGGGUUCCUGGACAUUAACUGACGCUGAGGCACGAAGGCCAGGGGAGCGAAAGGGAUUAGAUACCCCGGUAGUC